GCGGAUGUGGCGGAAUUGGUAGACGCGCUGGAUUUAGGUUCCAGUAUCGAGAGGUGUGGGAGUUCGAGUCUCCCCAUCCGCACCA
This 85-nucleotide transfer RNA is filed under the name Pseudomonadales bacterium. Its description in RNAcentral is "tRNA-Leu". It matches the Rfam family "tRNA". Rfam says of the family: Transfer RNA (tRNA) molecules are approximately 80 nucleotides in length. Lineage: Bacteria; Pseudomonadati; Pseudomonadota; Gammaproteobacteria; Pseudomonadales. The record is from RNAcentral. RNAcentral also lists the same sequence under 2 other names.